RNAcentral lists this ribosomal RNA (467 nucleotides) under uncultured bacterium. Its description in RNAcentral is "partial 16S ribosomal RNA". It matches the Rfam family "Bacterial small subunit ribosomal RNA", at positions 28 to 507 of the family's 1533-position model. The record is from RNAcentral.
GACGAACGCUAGCGGCGGGCUUAACACAUGCAAGUCGAGCGGAAAGGCCUCGUUCGGGGGGUCCUCGAGUGGCGAACGGGCGAGUAACACGUGAGUAACUUGCCCUUGACCUUGGGAUAACUUCAGGAAACUGGGGCUAAUACACGAUAAGCGCACCCGCUGCAUGGUGGGGGUUGGAAAGUUUCGGCGGAUGGGGGUGGAGUCGGGGCGUAUGGGCUCGGUGGAGGGGGAGUGGGGUACAAAGGCGUUGACGGGUAGCCGGCCUGAGAGGGUGAGCGGCGACAUUGGGAAUGAGACUAGGGCCAGACGCCGUCGGGAGGAAGCAGUGGGGAGUAUUGCCCAAUGGGUGGAAGCCUGAUGCAACAACGCCGUGUGCGGGAGUACGGCCCUGGGGUUGUGAGCCGCUUUCGCUCAUGACGAAGCUUUGUGUGACGGUAGUGGGUAAAGAAGCACCGGCUAACUACGUG